RNAcentral lists this ribosomal RNA (254 nucleotides) under uncultured bacterium. RNAcentral describes it as "partial 16S ribosomal RNA". It matches the Rfam family "Bacterial small subunit ribosomal RNA", at positions 524 to 776 of the family's 1533-position model. The record is from RNAcentral.
UACGUAGGGGGCGAGCGUUGUCCGGAUUUAUUGGGCGUAAAACGCUUGUAGGUGGCUACGUCAAGUCGGACGUGAAAUCUCCCGGCUUAACUGGGAGGGGUCGCUCGAUACUGGCGAGCUCGAGGCAGGUAGGGGGAAGCGGAAUUCCCGGUGUAGUGGUGGAAUGCGUAGAUAUUGGGAAGAACACCAGUGGCGAAGGCGGCUCACUGGCCCGUAACUGACGCUGAGGUGCGAAAGCGUGGGGAGCAAACAGG